RNAcentral lists this ribosomal RNA (448 nucleotides) under uncultured bacterium. Its description in RNAcentral is "partial 16S ribosomal RNA". It matches the Rfam family "Bacterial small subunit ribosomal RNA", at positions 338 to 795 of the family's 1533-position model. The record is from RNAcentral.
CCUACGGGUGGCUGCAGUGGGGAAUAUUGGACAAUGGGGGAAACCCUGAUCCAGCAAUGCCGCGUGUGUGAAGAAGGCCUGCGGGUUGUAAAGCACUUUCGGUUGGGAAGAAAAGUUUGGCGCCAAUACCGCCGAACCUUGACGUUACUGACAGAAGAAGCACCGGCUAACUCUGUGCCAGCAGCCGCGGUAAUACAGAGGGUGCAAGCGGCGUUCGGCGUGCCUGGGCGGUCAUGGUGCGUAGGUGGUCAAUCCCCGGGCUUAACCUGGGAACUGCAUUCGAUACUACAUGGCUAGAGUAUGGUAGAGGGAAGUGGAAUUUCCGGUGUAGCGGUGAAAUGCGUAGAUAUCGGAAGGAACACCAAUGGCGAAGGCAGCUUCCUGGACUAAUACUGACACUGAGGCACGAAAGCGUGGGUAGCAAACAGGAUUAGAUACCCCUGUAGUC